AACGAACGCUGGCGGCAGGCUUAACACAUGCAAGUCGAACGGAUGUAGCAAUACAUCAGUGGCAGACGGGUGAGUAACACGUGGGAACCUUCCUCGUUGUACGGGACAACUCAGGGAAACUUGAGCUAAUACCGUAUAAGUCCGAGAGGAGAAAGAUUUAUCGCAAUGAGACGGGCCCGCGUCGGAUUAGCUAGUUGGUGGGAACGGCCGUGCCAAGGCGACGAUCCGUAGCUGAUCUGAGAGGAUGAUCAGCCACCACUGGGACUGAGACACGGCCCACGACUCCUACGGGAGGGCAGCAGUGGGGAAGUCUUGGACAAUGGGCGCAAGCCUGAUCCAGCCAUGCCGCGUGAGUGAAGAAGGCCUUAGGGUUGUAAAGCUCUUUUG
RNAcentral lists this ribosomal RNA (387 nucleotides) under uncultured bacterium. RNAcentral describes it as "bacterial SSU rRNA". It matches the Rfam family "Bacterial small subunit ribosomal RNA", at positions 29 to 438 of the family's 1533-position model. The record is from RNAcentral.